CGCGCGUUCCCAUUUUGUUGGUUUCUGAGAUCGCCGUAAUGAUUAAUAGGGAUAGUUGGGGGCAUUUGUAUUCCGUCGUCAGAGGUGAAAUUCUUGGAUUGCCGGAAGACAAACUACUGCGAAAGCAUUUGCCAAGGAUGUUUUCAUUGAUCAAGAACGAAGGAAGGGGGAUCGAAAACGAUUAGAUACCGUUGUAGUCUCUUCUAUAAACUAUGCCAAUUGGGGAUCGGUACAGGAUUUUUAAUGACUGUAUCGGCACCCGAAGAGAAAUCUUUAAAUGAGGUUCGGGGGGGAGUAUGGUCGCAAGGCUGAAACUUAAAGGAAUUGACGGAAGGGCACCACCAGGUGUGGAGCCUGCGGCUUAAUUUGACUCAACACGGGGAAACUCACCAGGUCCAGACACAAUAAGGAUUGACAGAUUGAUAGCUCUUUCUUGAUCUUGUGGUUGGUGGUGCAUGGCCGUUCUUAGUUGGUGGAGUGAUUUGUCUGGUUAAUUCCGAUAACGAACGAGACCUUAACCUGCUAAAUAGACCAGCCGGCUUUGGCUAGCUGCUGUCUUCUUAGAGGGACUAUCAGCGUUUAGCUGAUGGAAGUUUGAGGCAAUAACAGGUCUGUGAUGCCCUUAGAUGUUCUGGGCCGCACGCGCGCUACACUGACAGAGCCAGCGAGUCUACCACCUUUGCCGGAAGGCAUGGGUAAUCUUGUGAACUCUGUCGUGA
This 719-nucleotide ribosomal RNA is filed under the name uncultured fungus. RNAcentral describes it as "SSU rRNA". It matches the Rfam family "Eukaryotic small subunit ribosomal RNA", at positions 827 to 1570 of the family's 1831-position model. The record is from RNAcentral. Lineage: Eukaryota; Fungi.